Molecule: ribosomal RNA, 253 nt
Filed under: uncultured prokaryote
Description: partial 16S ribosomal RNA
Rfam family: Bacterial small subunit ribosomal RNA
Source: RNAcentral
UACGUAGGUGACUAGCGUUGUCCGGAUUUACUGGGCGUAAAGAGCGCGCAGGCGGUCGUUCAAGUCGAGUGUGAAAGCCCCCGGCUCAACUGGGGAGGGUCACUUGAUACUGAUCGACUCGAAGGCAGGAGAGGGAAGCGGAAUUCCCGGUGUAGUGGUGAAAUGCGUAGAUAUCGUAAGGAACGCCAGUGGCGAAAGCGAGUCUCUGGGCAGCAUCUGACGCUGAGGCACGAAGGCCAGGGGAGCAAACGGG